Molecule: ribosomal RNA, 706 nt
Filed under: Venturia oleaginea
Lineage: Eukaryota; Fungi; Ascomycota; Dothideomycetes; Venturiales; Venturiaceae
Description: eukaryotic LSU rRNA
Rfam family: Eukaryotic large subunit ribosomal RNA
Source: RNAcentral
AGCUCAAAUUUGAAAUCUGGCGCAAGCCCGAGUUGUAAUUUGCAGAGGAUGUUUCGGGUGAAGCCACGGUCCAAGUCCCUUGGAACAGGACGUCAUAGAGGGUGAGAACCCCGUACCUGGCCGUCGGUGCCCCCCGCUGUGAAACUCCUUCGACGAGUCGAGUUGUUUGGGAAUGCAGCUCUAAAUUGGUGGUAAAUUCCAUCUAAAGCUAAAUACCGGCCAGAGACCGAUAGCGCACAAGUAGAGUGAUCGAAAGAUGAAAAGCACUUUGAAAAGAGAGUUAAAAAGUACGUGAAAUUGUUGAAAGGGAAGCGCUUGCGGCCAGACUUGCCCGCGGUUGCUCAGCCCGCCCUUUGGCGGGUGCACUCUUCCGCGGUCAGGCCAGCAUCGGUUUGGGCGGCCGGAUAAAGGCGUUGGGAACGUAGCCUCCCCUCGGGGAGGUGUUAUAGCCCGGCGCGCAAUGCGACCAGCCCGGACCGAGGUUCGCGCUCUGCUAGGAUGCUGGCGUAAUGGCCGUAAGCGGCCCGUCUUGAAACACGGACCAAGGAGUCUAACAUCUAUGCGAGUGUUUGGGUGUCAAACCCGUGCGCGUAAUGAAAGUGAACGGAGGUGGGAACCGCAAGGUGCACCAUCGACCGAUCCUGAUGUCUUCGGAAGGAUUUGAGUAAGAGCAUAGCUGUUGGGACCCGAAAGAUGGUGAACAAUC